UUGGAGCUGUAGCCACCAGCCUACACCAGAGCCACAGCAAUGCCCGCUCCGAGCCGCAUCUGUGACCUACACCACAGCUUGCUGGAUCGUUAACCCACUGAGCAAGGCCAGGGAACGAACCCGAAACCUCAUGGUUCCUAGUUGGAUUCUUAACCACUGUGUCACGAUGGGAAUUCCUGUCUUUUGCCUUUUUUAGGGCUGCACCCAAGGAAUAUGGAGGUUCCCAUGCCAGGGGUCCAAUUGGAGCUGUAGCUGCUGGCCUACACCACAGCCACAGCAACGCAGGAUCCAAACCGCAUCUGCGACCUACACCACAGCUCACAGCAACGCUGGAUCCUUAACCCAUUGAGCAAGGCCACGGAUUGAACCUUCAGCCUUAUGGAUAUUAGGUUCGUUAACCACUGAACCACGACUGGAACUCCAGCCUUUCCUGUUUUUUCACCUCUUUUCCUAGAAAGACCUGUUUGUGUUUGAUUAUUUAUUUAUUCACAGCUCAAAUGAAAUUGUCACUGGCUAUGCUGUUAAGAGUUUUGGGGGUUAUGUGAGGACAUAAUGAACAUUGGAACUUGAGUAAAAUAAACAGCCAUUCUCCAAUAAGCAGUUAAACUACAGAAGUUUGGAAAACCUCAGAGUGGUACCAGAAAGAACUUUCUCUUGGUUUUGAAGAAAGCAUAUCAGUCCCUCCCUUUUGGAUUGUUUUCAUAGGUAAAUGUUAAUUAUAAGUAAUUCUAAACAUGGGAAGAAAUAUUUUAUAUGUGUUAGUGUAGGCUGUGGUCCCUUUAUGUGUGGGUCUCUGUCAUAAGUGGCCUUGAAAAUGCAUAAACGGACCUGAGUUAAUUCCUUCACUGUAGAAUAAUUACGGUGAAGAAUGAAUUCCUUGCAGCUGAGGCUUUAAAAAAUAUUUUCAUCAUAAUUUUUUACUAACCAAAAUCCUUUGGUUUUCUCACCUCCUAAUUGGUAAUUCACUAGAAAUAUGUUGCUAUUCCGCAUUAUGACCACUGGGGGGCGUAGAUUAUUUUCAUGUUUUGUUAAAAACAGAAUGUAGUAUAUAUUUCUGUUUAACCAGUUUAGCCUAAUAUCAAAUUAGGAAAUUUCAUGUUAGGAAAUUUUAAAUUAUUACAUUUUCUUAAGCCUAUUAUAUCUAGUCUCAUACACUUAGGGGAUUAGUUGUUGAGAAAAAAUAAAGCUAUGUAUUUUACGAGCAUCAUUAGCUAUGGAAGCUGAACAUGAUUCUGACUCUCCUGGCCAGUGGAUUAAUUUUGUGUCCCUAAGCUAGUAUUUUUCUUGAAAACUUAAAUGUCUUGGAAAAAAAGACUUCAACUUCUACCUGCUUUUUUUUUUAAGAUUAUUGAAGAUACUAUGCAAAAAUAAAAAGUAGUGUUUCUCAGUGCUCAAUCAUUUAUUCUUAUCUUAGCCUGUAGAGAAAAAGUCUGACAAUACAGUAGUAUUUUUCUUUGAAAAAAAUUGCAUGGAUGAUUACAAAUUGUUGGUUGUCUGGAAGGUACCACCAUUGAAGUGAGGGAGACCUCAGGUCCCAGCCUGGGCUCCAGAGGAAGUUGGAGGUGUGUGCCCUGUGGCAAAAUCAGUGUUCGGAAGGUGAACUCAACUCUGUCUGUUCUGUGCUGCAUGCUCCUUUUGCAGUCAACAUCCUAUGAGUCAUUGAUCCAGGCCACAAGCUGUGGCAGCAUCCAGGCUCCUGGGAGGUGGAGGUGCCCUGCCCCACCCCUGCCAGCACCCCUCUCGCCUCAUCUGGUGUCAUGAAAAAGCACUGACUGGAAACCAGGUGCCCACUGGUGGGUGGCCUUGGGCUAAUUGCCUGACCUCUCUGGGCCUCUGUUUGUCCCCGUUUAGAAUGGAGAAGGUUUUUCUCCCCCCACAUCUUCAUCUCUUCACUGCCCGCCUCCGACUUGGUUUCCUUCUCCUGUUUUCCCCUGGUGUUAUUUUCUCAUCUAUUCCAACUUUGAUUUCCUCUUUUCCUUCUCAUAUUCCCUUGUAGUUUCUCCAGAAUUUCUGUCUGGUCACCCCUCACGUCCCUUCUUCCUGACCACCCACUUCUCCUGUUUUCCCCCUGGCAGCUCCAUUGUGGGGUUUUCUUACCACCAUCUGAUGUUGAGGAUCCAGGACUGUGGUAGGACGUGGGGGUUUAAAUUUUAUACAUUGUGUGAUAGUUAGACUCCCCACAUCACUUCUCUUUUGAAGGGGGAAUUUGUGUCUGGGUCCUGUGUUGACUUGGAUUACAAGCCUGCAGGCCCUUCAUGGUGCUAUCUAUAGGUGGGCGGGGCAGCAGGCAGUGAACGCGCUGAAUGUAAGAUAAAUUUUCCCAUUUCUAGUUUUGGUGAAAUUUGUUUUCAGUUUUGCCAUUAACAUUUUUAUUAUGCAUAUCUUGAUGGUAUAUUGCUGUAGUAAACAUCACCACCACACCCUUAUUUACUCAUUUGGAUAUUUUGUCUUUAGUGAUGUUUAGGCAGAGAAAGUUUAAUAAUUUGAACAUUAUUAAACAUAUGAGGAUCAGCUAGUAUAUUGAUGAAUUAACCAAAUACAUUGAUGGAAUGAUGAAAACUCCUGUCCCCCUCACCUCUCCAUUGAUGGAACUGUGGCCGAGUGUUCUUUCUUGUUCUCAAGAUUGUCUUGGGACCCUAAAGUUGUGCUCCAAUAGAAAUAUAAUGGGAGCCACACAUGUCAUUUAAAAUUCUCUAAUAACAUUAAAAAGUAAAAAAGAAAAGCAGAUGAAGUUAAUUUUAAAAAUAGCUUAUUUAACUUAGUAUGUGCAAAAUAUCUUUAUUUCAACAAGUAACCUAUAUAAAAAAUUAUAUGAUUUCACAUUCUGCUUUCAUCUUGUGUGUUUAUGCUUACAGCACACUCAGUUGGCACUGGUCACAUAGCAAACAUAGCCAUGUGGGUAAUGCAGCACAGACCUAGACACUUGCAUAAAAUAGUAUGUUUUAAUUUAAAAAUUAAUGGACCUUGUCUGUAUGUAUGUUUUAGGUUUUUAGAAAAAUUCUCUUGAAGUUUCUAUAAAUUGACUUUACUAAGAGCCAGAAUGGAAAGACCAGGAAUGUUUGAAUUUUAGUAUUAUGUUGUCAUACUCGUAUUAAAGAUGAAUUGUUCAUUAUAUUAUUACUAUUACUAUGUGAUAGUACCAUUAUAACAUUAAUGUAACUAGUGCUGUGUUAACAUACAGUAACAAACUGUAAUUUGUUCAUUAUUUACAGAGCUGAGCAGACUAGCUCCCAUUCACAGUUGUGAAACUAUAUUGGGUCAUGCCGAUAAAUAGCACCAAGUAAAACAUUUCAGUGAUUGAGUUCUAUAAAGCAUAUGUAACCUGGCUGUCUUUGGGAAGCUCAUUGAUGCUUAGAAAAUCUAUGUAAACCAUUUUCCUUUACAUGGCUAAUUUAUUGACAGUUAAAUUCACCAUCUAUGUAGUUAUUUUAUUUCUAAAAAUGAGGAUGUGAUUGAUUUAGAGAAUCAUUAACUCAAUCCGUGUGCUUGUGAUGGAAGCUGCAGUGACGGUCAUGUGGCUGGGCAGGACUUGGUACCUAUCAGUAUAAACACACGGCACAGCCCGUCCCAUGCCCCUUAUCUCCUUCACAGGGAAGGGGUUGAGGCAUUUUGAGCAAAUCUUAUUGGUAAAGUCAUGCAUGUAUUGCCUUUUUUUUUUUUUUUUUUUUUUUUUUAAGAAUCAUUUCCUUUCAGUUUUAACCAUAUUACUGUGUCUGCAAACAGUUUGCACUCAGUCUGUCGGCAAAAGGACUUUCUGUUUUAAUUACUGAGAAGUGUGCCUUCAUGUCUGAAAAAAGGCAUGCUGGUGACCUAGUUGAGUUUUAAGAUGUUUUACUUAGAAGAUGAGAAUGAGGAGGGGGAGAAGAUUGCUGAAGGUGGUGAUCGCGGAAAGGCCCCUGCUGGUAUCCUGAUAGUGUGGUGAAAUCAUGGAGAAGUGAGCCCAGUGAGCAGAAAUCUGUGCUUCCAAACUUCCUUAAAGAAAAUAUGUGGCAUAUUCAAUAUCUGAAUUUAUGAACUGACGAGCCCUGACUGCUGAACUUAAGUCUCAAACCAUGAAUUAUGUGGGACAGCUGGCCGGGCAGGUGAUUGUCACUGUGAAGGAGCUCUACAAGGGCAUUAACCAGGCCACCCUGUCUGGGUGCAUCGAUGUCAUCGUGGUGCGGCAGCAGGAUGGCACCUACCAGUGCUCGCCUUUCCACGUUCGCUUCGGGAAGCUGGGGGUCCUGAGGUCCAAGGAGAAGGUGAUCGACAUAGAAAUCAAUGGCGAUGCGGUGGAUCUUCACAUGAAGCUGGGGGACAACGGGGAAGCUUUCUUUGUGGAGGAGACUGAAGAGGAGUAUGAGAAACUUCCUGCUUACCUUGCCACCUCACCCAUUCCUACUGAAGAUCAGUUCUUUACGGAUAUUGACAGCCCUCGGGGGAAACCAGGGGGGAAUGAAAGGCCACCUCAGAGCUCUGACAUCUCCCCCGUCCUAGAAACGGAGACAGUUUUUGCCCCCAGUUCUGUGAAGAAGAAGAAACGAAGGAGGAAGAAGUGCAAACAGGACAGUAAGAAGGAAGAGCAGACCGCUUCUCCCGCUGCUGAAGAUGCCGUGGGCGUGGACCUGAGCUCCGACGAGGACAAGGGGCUGCAGGCGAUAAGAGGAUCUUCAAAUGCUUCCUUAAAGGAAGAAGAAUAUAAGGAGCCUCUGCUCUUCCACUCAGGAGAUCACUACCCUCUAUCUGAUGGAGACUGGUCCCCUUUAGACAACCCCUACUCCCCAGCAGCAUGUCCGAAGAGUGACUCCGAGCUGGAAUUGAAACCAGCCGGGAGCCUGCUCAGAUCCGAGUCCCACAUGGAGUGGACGUGGGGCGGGUUCCCAGAGUCCACCAAGGUCAGCAAAAGAGAGCGAUCUGACCACCAUCCUAGGACAGCUACAAUUACUCCAUCAGAAAAUACCCAUUUCCGGGUAAUUCCCAGUGAGGACAGCCUACUGGGUGAGGUGGCAAAGGAUGCGUCCGUGGGGGAGACCGUCUGCACGAUCGUGAAGCCCAGGCCCCGGGCCCCGGGGAAGCAAAGGAGCGGAGCGGCCUCUGCAGCCGAGCUUCUGGAGCCUCCGGUCCCUGCUCCCUGGGACACCCACCACCCCCUGCCCCCGUCAUUCGCCGAGGUUCCUUCAGAGUCCAAACCGGCUGCUAAAAUUGACUCUCCCUCAAAGAAGAGAGGUGUCCACAAGAGAAGCCAGCACCAGGGACCUGAUGAUAUUUACCUGGAUGACCUCAAGGCACUAGAACCUGAAGUUGCAGCUCUCUAUUUCCCCAAAAGUGAGUCGGAGCCUGGCUCCCGGCAGUGGCCCGAGUCUGACACCUUCUCCGGCUCCCAGUCCCCACAGUCGGUGGGCAGUGCAGCUGCUGAUAGCGGCACCGAGUGCCUGUCGGAUUCCGCCAUGGACCUGCCCGACGUCACCCUCUCGCUCUGUGGGGGCCUCAGCGAGAACGGGGAGAUUUCUAAAGAAAAAUUCAUGGAGCAUAUCAUCACUUACCAUGAAUUUGCAGAAAACCCUGGACUUAUAGACAAUCCCAAUCUUGUCAUACGGAUAUAUAACCGUUACUAUAACUGGGCGUUGGCUGCUCCCAUGAUCCUCAGCUUGCAGGUCUUUCAGAAGAGCUUACCUAAGGCCACAGUGGAGUCCUGGGUCAAAGAUAAGAUGCCAAAGAAAUCUGGUCGCUGGUGGUUUUGGCGUAAGAGAGAGAGCAUUACCAAACAGCUGCCAGAAGCCAAGGAAGGGAAAUCUGAGGUGCCGCCACCCAGCGACCUGCCAUCGAGCGUGAAGGAGCCGGCCAGCGGCAGGCCGGCCGAGGACGACUCGUCCAGUGAUGAGGGGUCACAGGAGCUCGAAGAGUCCAUCAAGGUGGACCCUGUCACUGAGGAGCCCCCGAGCCACAGCAGCACGACCUCCUACAAGAAGUCUCUUCGUCUUUCCUCAGACCAGAUCGCAAAACUGAAGCUCCAGGACGGCCCAAAUGAUGUUGUGUUUAGUAUUACAACCCAGUAUCAAGGCACCUGCCGCUGCGCAGGGACCAUUUACCUAUGGAACUGGAACGACAAGGUCAUCAUUUCCGACAUCGAUGGAACAAUAACCAAGUCUGAUGCCUUGGGACAGAUUCUCCCACAGCUGGGUAAAGACUGGACUCAUCAGGGUAUAGCCAAGCUCUACCACUCCAUCAAUGAGAAUGGCUACAAGUUCCUGUACUGCUCCGCCCGUGCCAUCGGCAUGGCCGACAUGACCCGUGGCUACCUGCACUGGGUCAACGACAAGGGCACGAUCCUGCCCCGGGGCCCCCUGAUGCUGUCCCCCAGCAGCCUGUUCUCGGCCUUCCACAGGGAAGUAAUAGAAAAGAAACCAGAGAAGUUCAAAAUCGAGUGUCUAAAUGACAUCAAGAAUCUGUUUGCCCCAUCCAAGCAGCCCUUCUAUGCUGCCUUUGGAAACCGUCCAAAUGUAAGUGUCUCCUGGGCUGCGCCGAUGGGGUGGGUCAGACUCAGGAACGUUCUGCCGGCCGUAGAGGCAGAAGGCGCGUCUGCUCUGCCGAGCAGGCUUUCCCUGCUCCAGCGGCUGGGGAGGGCCUGUCAUGGGCUCUGCCCAGAAUUUUGGUGUGUCACGAAAUGCGUGCGCUCUCUCUUUGUGGCUUCCAUUCCAUUUCCUCACGCGGUUCUGACUCUGGUUGUAAGUGAUUCUGGGAUGCGACCUAGACCAGGGCAUGAACGCCCCCCUCGUUAAGGCCUCCCUUCUCCUGCUCCCUUCUCCCUGGCCUCUCCAGGGCACCCAAGUUUUCUGGCUGCUCCAGUGCUUGGCUCCACUCUUUCGUGUCUGUUUGAAGCUCAGCUCCAGUGGCAAAGCUGUGCUAUGCCAGCUCCACGUGUUUUCUAUACACGACCUCCUUUAUUGUGUGAUUCCUCUGGCUCGCAAGUAGAGAUCCAUCUCCUAAUUUCCGCCUGUAACGGCCCUGCCCAUGUCCUGCUGCAGGAUGUCUAUGCGUACAUGCAAGUUGGAGUUCCGGACUGCAGAAUAUUCACCGUGAACCCCAAGGGCGAACUGAUACAAGAGAGGACCAAAGGAAACAAGUCAUCGUAUCACAGACUGAGCGAGCUCGUGGAACACGUGUUCCCACUUCUCAGUAAGGAACAGAAUUCUGCCUUCCUGUGCCCGGAGUUCAGCUCCUUCUGCUACUGGCGAGACCCAAUCCCCGAGGUGGACCUGGACGACUUGGCCUGAGGCGGCACCUCCAGCGGGGGGACCCGCCAUCGCUCACCUCGCAGCAGGGGAAGGUGACCGGCCCUUCUGCUGGACAGAGGACACGGGGCUACCCUCCCAGCCACAGGUGUGGGAUGAGACGUGCUGACAUCCAGGUGCCAGCAGGGACGGGGAGGGCCGCUGGAGCUGGAACUGCCCUCCCCGUCACCCUCUCGGGCUCGGUGGCACCACCAACACCCAGGCAGGGGGAGCGACGCCUGGGCUCUGUUGCUGGCUGGUCCUCUCACACACACUGUGACCAGUUGAGGUGUGUGCUGGGUGCUCCUUUAAUUGCAUAAUUUAAAUGGAAGAGGAAAGACACUAAGAGUGGACCAAAACAUUGCACAAAGUAAAGUGUUAUAAUUUCUGCUGGGCAGUUGAGAGUGUUUCUCUCGGAAACGUGGGCUUUCUCCAUGGGCCCAGUGUCCAGUGAGUGACGGAGCUCCAAACCGCCCAUGCCAGCUCUUAUGUGUGUGCCUCCCUCCCUGCCCCACAGGGACAAGACAGCUGCUCAGGCCCCCAGGCGAUACACGUGGGCUUCUGGGGAGGAAAAGGCCCUUAGGCCAAGGCUGCGUACCUGUGAUUCCUUCUCUCGGGAGACCUGCAGUGUUGUGUCUUGGACCAACCCAAAGGGGCAGGUCUGGCAGGAUGUGUAUGGCACCGUAGGAGCAGCGCCACCAACAGGAGCUGUGGUUAAACAAGGAAUGGCUCCGUUUUCAGGGAGGCCUUGGAAAUGCACAUGUGCACUUGUGACAGGUCCUGGGAAACGACCUUUUUCUCUCUCGCUCUGCCUGCAGUGACCUGGUUGUAAUGAGCUGGUGUUGGAGCCGCACAGGCUGCACCAGGGAGAGUUUCUGUCCAUAAGCCCCUCCGGAGCUGUAGGCAUGAGCUGCAGAGAAGAGGCUGGACAUGGACAGUGCCCUCAGUGUUCAGAUCCAGGGGACUCAGAGAGGAGGCUCUCGGGACCAAAGAUGAUCACACACAGCCCUGCGCUGGGUGAGAAAGCAGUGGGCUGGCUUCCCGAGCGGAGAGGGGACACGGUGGAAACCCUGCGGAGCAGUGUAGCAUGGUCCCAGGCAGUUUCUGUCCCUGCCUCUGCUUUCCCUGUGCCGUGUUGGUGGCACCCCUCAUUCUGGUUAGCUCCACCAAAAUAAUCCUGAUCUAGGGAUGGAGUGCUGGGGAUGGUUAUUUUCCAGAUUGGAGAGUUGAAAGUCUUUGACUCAGUUCGGCUGUUGUUCCUGGUGCCAUUGGAUGCAGAGACAGUGGCAAAGUCCCCUGAACAGAGUUGCCAGAGGCAGAGCCUGGAGGCAGCACGUCCAGAGGAGCAGCACAGCUUCCUCUGGUGCAGACCUUCCCACCUUAAGUACAAGGACUCACCUUUUACAGCAUUUAUUUGUGUAUAGUAGGGCAGGGAAACCAGGUUAUGUUUAUACGAAGUUCUGCCUAGUUAGUGAAAUACGUUCCUAGGGCAGUGGCCCUGCGGUUACUUCAUCUCAUGGAAGCAGUCAGCGUGUCCCCGCCAUGUCUGGUUUAAAAUUAGGCGCUUACCCUGAGCUUCAUAGGGCUUCUUUGCGAAUUUGCGGUAUGGAAAUCUUCACACACACGGAACCCUUUGUAGGUUGUCCUUUAGGGAGCUUCUGACGGUUUCUUUGGCCUGAUGAGCUCUCUUUCUGGCCUCAGGGGCGUCUUGAGGGUCGGACCUGGGAAGCCAGGUCUCUGGCCCCCUGCCGCCCUCUGCCCGGUGUCGGUCAGCACUCAGCUUUGUCAUUUUGUCACUGCAGAUUGAUCCAGUGGGUACAUAUGCUAAUUAACAUGAGUCUUUUUCCUUAUUUAAAGGAGUCCCUCUUGCUGAAAGUAGCUGAUUACUAUUACUAUAGUGUAUAAAAGUAUUGUUUGUGCUGAAAAUCCAUUGCCAUUUGGUACAAAUGACAUUUGUUCUUUCUGUGAAAGAGAGAUGCCCUCGAGUGUGUUUGUACACAGACCCUCACGAUGGUGGCUGGCAGGACCUGUAGCUUCUCGCUGCUUUGGGUGACUGGCGACACCACGGGGAGGCCAAGGCGGACGGGGCCCUUCUCAGUCACUCUCCCCUUUACUGCACUGGCGAAGGGCUGCGGCCCCUCUCUGUCUCUCCAGUCCAGUCCGACUUGACCUCUGCCUUGAUGUCCACGUGCUGAAGCUUGAACAGCUGUGGUGUCAGAUCUUCGGGGCGUAGGAAGUACAUGUGUGGGCGCCAGAGUGCACACACUUAGCCCCUCCGGAGCUCAUAGUGUGUGUGAGCACUGUGUUGGCUGUGCUUCCAAACAUUUGCUUAGUUUUCAACUGGAAAAAAACUUACUAUGUGAUGUCACGAAAUGCAAGCUGCUGACAAUCCGGGAACCACAGCCAGCCAAGCGACUGUAAAGUACCCAUGCCCUUGGCGGCACGUGGCCCUUCCAGAGGGUCGCCCGACACAACAGGCAGGGGGGAGAUGUUCCUUCUUUGCAAGUUGGUGAAAACAGACUCUCCCAGGGAAUUGUAUCGUCUUUUCGAGUAUCAUCAUAGUUAACUCUGGGAAGCCUUGUUUUCCCCUAUUUUAGAGAAUGCUGGGUUUAAUGAAACUGGUUAAAAAUUAGUUUUUGUUUAAAGUAAGUGUUCUUUCCAGGUGAGAACUUUUUUGGUUUGUUUUAAAGGUAAGAACAGGAGGGGAAACUUUGCUUUUUUAAUUUAAUCAUUACAUUCAGCCUAGAAUGACUUACUUGAUUAUUAGACAGUGAUACCACUAAAAAGUUUUAAGUUUUCAGAAAUUAAUUGUAAACAUCAGUUCAGUCCUUAGUUUAUGGCAGAGACAACUGUCUUAAGAUAAACCCUCAUUUUGGUGCAGUGUUUGAUGUUCAAAACAAAAUGUUACAACAAUAAACAAACAUAAACUGAA
Sus scrofa (pig) is the source of this 10182-nucleotide non-coding RNA. The record is from RefSeq and is a predicted model, not a curated record. Lineage: Eukaryota; Metazoa; Chordata; Mammalia; Artiodactyla; Suidae.